GCCAGCAGCCAUAUCACCCUGCAGCUCACACCUUGCAGCCCCCUGAAGCCCAGCAGGUGUGAGCCUGGCCAGUACCUGGCUGGGAGACUCUUGGGAAAGCUAAGGUUGCUGCUGGAA
This 117-nucleotide ribosomal RNA is filed under the name Lepisosteus oculatus (spotted gar). The record is from RNAcentral. Lineage: Eukaryota; Metazoa; Chordata; Actinopteri; Semionotiformes; Lepisosteidae.